CUCCAUAUCAACUGCCUGGAACUAUUGGCAGGUGCAUUCGCUAUUCGCAGCCUCACGCCGGAACGGGCGAAUUGUUGCGUGAUGCUCAAGAUGGACAAUGUAUCAGCGGUCCGAUACAUCAAUCACCUGGGAGGCACGAAAUCGCGCAUGUUAGCUCUCAUGGCGAAGGACUUCUGGCAAUUUUGCCUUCGCAACAGCAUUUCCGUGCAGGCGGAACAUAUUCCGGGUCUGGACAACUCAACGG
Molecule: non-coding RNA, 244 nt
Organism: Pelobates cultripes (western spadefoot toad)
Lineage: Eukaryota; Metazoa; Chordata; Amphibia; Anura; Pelobatidae
Source: the annotation of a GenBank genome assembly